GGCAGCAGCCGGCCGGGCCUGGGAACGUGGCUGGUUGGAGGAGGUGGAUCACCGUUUCUGCGGUGGACGAUUUCGUCGGUGGUAGGCUGCUACCAUGAGGUUGAAUCAGAACACCUUGCUGCUGGGGAAGAAGGUGGUCCUUGUACCCUACACCUCGGAGCAUGUGCCCAGGUACCACGAGUGGAUGAAAUCAGAGGAGCUGCAGCGUUUGACAGCCUCAGAGCCGCUGACCCUGGAGCAGGAGUAUGCCAUGCAGCGCAGCUGGCGGGAAGAUGCAGACAGUGAGGAGUGCCCCCCACUCCCCCUAGCCCUGGUACUGGGAGGGCUGACUCCACAGUCAGUCUCCAGGUUCCUUCCCUUUCCCAGCCCUGGCCACAGAAACUUUGUGAAAAGCCUGGAAGGUGCUGGAACUCCUGUAUUCUCAUGGCCCUGAAGCCAGUCCCUGUGGCUGACCCUUCUGUCCUCUUCCCCACCCAUUGCAUCGGGCUUGGAAGGAUUUGGAGAAAGUAGAGCAUUUGGGGCUCUGGCUGUAAAUUGAGGCCCUGCCCCUCACAUCCCUCACCACAGCCUAGUGUGGUGACUGUCCUCCUCUGUGUUCCCUGCUCAAUGAGAAUUUGGUUGCUGGUUGGAGAAGCUUUUUCUGUAUGAGGCAGAUUUGGAGUUUUGUAAUGAGCUGAAGGAAGCUCUGGGACCCCCUCUUCUCCUGGCAGACUCAGAGAUGCUGGUAUUCUGCAGUGCUCUGGCUUGGGUAGGAGUACCAUCCUCUCUUUUCUCCUCUGGGGAGUGUGUGUGAUAGCCCUGUCACCUCCUCCUCAGAGUGUACCUUCAUUGUGCUGGAUGCCGAGAAGUGGCAGGCCCAGCC
This 862-nucleotide small RNA is filed under the name Pongo abelii (Sumatran orangutan). RNAcentral describes it as "retained intron". Lineage: Eukaryota; Metazoa; Chordata; Mammalia; Primates; Hominidae. The record is from RNAcentral.